Streptomyces autolyticus is the source of this 75-nucleotide non-coding RNA. The record is from Rfam. Lineage: Bacteria; Bacillati; Actinomycetota; Actinomycetes; Kitasatosporales; Streptomycetaceae.
CUUCACCGAGCCCAGCCACAACGGCCGGUCCGCGGGACGGUCCCGGCCGUAGGUGGCCAGCAGGGCCCGCGCCUC